This is a long non-coding RNA of Bufo bufo (common toad), 633 nucleotides long. RefSeq lists it as uncharacterized. Lineage: Eukaryota; Metazoa; Chordata; Amphibia; Anura; Bufonidae. The transcript has 2 exons. The record is from RefSeq and is a predicted model, not a curated record.
CUCAUUGUGCACUGGAGAAGCCUGGCACUCAGGUGUGUCUACCAUGUGAACGCUGCUCAUCCACAUUGCAGCCGCUGCCUCCUCCUCCGCCUCCUCCGCCUCCUCCUCGCCCCGGAACCUGUGCUCCUGCCUGUCAGUCCACCUGGCUCAGUGGUUCUUAACAGUUCAACAGUUCUCUAUCGAAAUUGUGAAAUGUUUAGGACCACUUGACCAGGCGGGCGCUCUCUUCUCGCUGUGGACACAAUGGAGGCCCCAGCAUCAGGAGUAACAGCCGAAGAACUUCUCCACUUCUGCGAGAGGGAAGACUUGUUAAGACGUGUUAACCUAUAACCUGCCAGUUUCUUGGAAAUGCACACGAAGCAGAAUGGUAAAUUUUAACCGGUUUCACAUGGUCACAGUAGGGCUGUAUUAUGGCUGCAAAACCCCAUACAAAUCCCUUACUGAAACUGGACUAGGGUUGUGUGGUGGAACUAUAUCAUUGGGUUCAGCAGACCCUUUGGGGGGGGGGGGGGGGGGUUGCAACCUUAAUACUGGUGCUAAAAGGUGGCUAUAUUAUAUGACACAAACCUAAUGAGGACUGGACCUGUGGAACUGAGCUUCCCAGGUACAUGGAAGGGUUGGUAUGACAUUGGG